This is a non-coding RNA of Meleagris gallopavo (turkey), 367 nucleotides long. Lineage: Eukaryota; Metazoa; Chordata; Aves; Galliformes; Phasianidae. The record is from RefSeq and is a predicted model, not a curated record.
GGGCGUUUUUUUCUUAUUCCAGAGCCAAUAAUAAUGGAGGGUUCUCCCGAAUUUAAGAUUCUGAAGGACAAAUGGACCGCAAUUUCGGUGGACAAUAAAAGAUCAGCGCAGUUCGAGCACACCGUCGUCAUUACCUCGGAGGGAGCAGAAAUCCUCUCUAAAGUGCAGGGAGAAGUCUAAGGACGCAGCGGGGAGUGGAGGGCUCGGUGUGUUUUGGGCUUCCUCGACCCCGCAGGGACAGCGCUGAGCUCCGGGUGGUUCUGGGGGCACUGAGCGGACACGGGACGCGGCUCGGGGACUCGCUCCGGGCACGGUGCUCUGCGCGGUACCCGGUGAGUGUUGAAUAAAAGCCUCUUGGUUUGCGGCA